UGGCGUAGUGGUCAGUGCACUCGCCUUGCACGCGGGAGACCCGGGUUCGAUUCCCAG
This 57-nucleotide transfer RNA is filed under the name Diaphorina citri (Asian citrus psyllid). It matches the Rfam family "tRNA", at positions 8 to 63 of the family's 71-position model. Rfam says of the family: Transfer RNA (tRNA) molecules are approximately 80 nucleotides in length. Their secondary structure includes four short double-helical elements and three loops (D, anti-codon, and T loops). Lineage: Eukaryota; Metazoa; Arthropoda; Insecta; Hemiptera; Psyllidae. The record is from Rfam by way of RNAcentral.